Molecule: non-coding RNA, 3279 nt
Organism: Taeniopygia guttata (zebra finch)
Lineage: Eukaryota; Metazoa; Chordata; Aves; Passeriformes; Estrildidae
Source: RefSeq, a predicted model, not a curated record
CCGGCCCCACCGGGAACCCGCCGGGAACCCGCCCGCGCGGCCCCGCGCCCCGGGGAUGAGGCGCCGUUACCGUGCCGGAGCCGCCGGAUGCUGUAUCAGCCAUCUUGGAGCCAUAUGGAGCUGUGCGCAUGCGCCAGUGGGAUCCUGGAAUUAGAGAAGGAAUAAGGAUGGAUGAAAUGCAGGAAGUUGUGUGAACUUGUUGGAACCUCUCAGCUGCUCAAGCUCGAUUUGCACUCUGCAGGAAGUAAAAGAAACACUUUUGAACGCUCUCGAUGCAGGAAACUAAAAAAAAUCAGAAAUCGCCGUGCUGCUGAGAGGUGUGAGCUGAGCACCCCCCAGGCCCUCCAGGCAGGGGACAGCACCCAGGCUGUGAAAAAUGCAUAUUUUAUCAGCUGAAUUUUGGUUCUAAAAUGCUGAUUUGGGAGCGAAAUGGAGAGUUCACCUGGGGCUGCCUCGCUCUGCUUCCGAGUCCGAGUCGAUGAAAAUGAGAUUUCACUGGAGAUUUCCUCGGGAAAAGGGAACUGAGGCACCAAACGGCUGCAAAAAUGACAAAGGAAGGCAAAAAAAUGCUCAGGAAAAAAAUCAGGUGAAAUGACACUUGGGAUCAGGAGGGAUUUCCCUGUGCAAUCAGGAAUUUCCACAUGGAAUUAGGAGGAAUUUUCCUGUGGAAUCAGGAGGAAUUUUCCUACAGGAUCAGGGGGAAUUUCCUCACGGGAUCAGGAAUUUCCACAUGGAAUCAGGAAGAAUUUUCCUAUGGAAUCAGGAAUUUCCUCGUGGAAUCAGCAGGAAUUUCCCCAUGGAACCAGGAGGAAUUUUCCUAUGGGAUCAGGAGGAAUUUCUCAUGGGAUCAGGAGGAAUUUUCCUGUGGAAUCAGGAGGAACUUCCCCAUAGAAUUAGGAGGAAAUUCCUCAUGGAAUCAGGAAUUUCCUCUUGGAAUUAGCAGGAAUUUUCCUAUGGAAUCAGCAGGAAUUCCCCCAUGGAAUUAGGAGGAUUUUCCCCAUGGGAUCAGGAGGAAUUUUCCUGUAGGAUCAAGAGGAAUUUCCCAUGGGAUCAGGAGGAAUUUCCUAUGGAAUCAGGAGGAAUUUUCCUGUGGAAUCAGCAGGAAUUUCCCCAUAGAACUAGGAGGAAAAUCCUCACGGAAUCAGCAGGAAUUUUCCCAUGGAAUCAGGAGGAAUUUCCUAUGGAAUUAGCAGGAAAUUCCUCAUGGAAUCAGGAAUUUCCUUUUGGAAUCAGGAGGAAAUUCCUCAUGGAAUCAGGAGGAAUUUUCCUGUGGAAUCAGCAGGAAAUUCCCCAUAGAACUAGGAGGAAAAUCCUCAUGGAAUCAGCAGGAAUUUUCCCAUGGGAUCAGGAGGAAUUUCCUAUGGAAUUAGCAGGAAUUUUCCUAUGGAAUCAGGAAUUUCCUCAUGGAAUCAGCAGGAAUUUUCCCAUGAGAAAUUUUCCCCCAGGCUCCAUCCCACCAGAACCAGCCCCACAUCCCUUGGAAAACUCCCACUUUUCCCCUCAUCACCAACAUUCCAGAACAACAAUCCCAAUUUUAUGAUCCAGCCAAGACCAACCUCACCCUGCCGAGCUCCUGGAAGCCACUGGGGGUUUAUUUAUCAUUUUUAAUCCCAAGGAAUUUCCUUUUUUUAACAUCCCCCAAGCCAGGAAACCGCCUAUCUAUGGCCAGCAGUGACCAAAAUUUGGUUUUCCUGGAAUUUUCCCCCCAUUUCCCUCCCCACACCCACACACUUUAGGCUUUUUAGGAUCCUGCAGUGUAAUUUUUUGCAUUUCCAGCCUGCCCCUGUGGCUUGCAGAGGCUCCACUUCUGCCCAGUCAUCAUCUGGAGGGAACAGCAGCUUGUGCAACGCUCCCUUCCCCCUUUUUUUGGGGCCACCACCCAAAAAACACCCCACAAACACCAAGAACAGGAGCAAACCCAACAAGUCUUGGACAAAAACCCACAAAAAAACACCCCAAAACUUUCAAUUUCCAAAGACACAGCCCCAAAACCAAAAGGGCCAAAAGGCACCGCUGUGGUUUCCACUUUGCUGGAGUCAAAAAUUGCUUUUUUUGUUAAAAAUGUGGGAUCUGGGGCCCUUCUCUUCCCCUGCACCCCGGAUUAAAAGCAGCUGACUGAUCCACAGGGCUCUCCCAUGGAUUCCUCAAAUAUUUCCUGCCCACACCAAGGGAUGUUUUCAUUGUAAGGUGAAAGAAAAUUGGGUGGAAAAAGGAGAUUUUGGCGAGUUCUGAUGUCACGCAGAAAAAUUCCUUCUUUGUCGCUGCUGGAAUUCUCUGCCCCUUUUUUUUCCCUUCAGUUCUGCCUCAUCCUCGAGUUUCUCAGCACAGCAAAUCCAUUAAAAAUUUCCCAUCCAUGCCAUAAAUUGCAUUAAUUGCAAUAAUUAAAUGGCACAAAGGGCGUCGUGGCUGUGACCUCGAUGUUCGCUGUCACAGGGGGCAUUUAGAGCUUCUAAAAAUCACAAAGAUUAUUUUUAUUUCGAAAAAAAAACCCCAAAAAAAACUCCUGAGCUGACAAAACAAAGCCUCCGGUCUUGCCUUACUUUGCACUUAUUAAUUUGGGGAGUUUGUUUGCAAUUUAAAUAUUCUUUAGAUGACAAAGAAGCAGCAAAAUGUGUCAAAAUGGCACAGGUGGAAGUGGCUGAAGUGACACUGGUGUGUGUGGGAGAAGCUGUGGUGGCACAUUUUUGUUCCUUCGCCUAAAAAUGAAUUUAUUUUCAGAGGAAUAGCCCAAAAAUGAGUUUAUUUCCAGAGGAACAGCCUAAAAAUCAGUUUAUUUCCAGAGGAACAGCCUAAAAAUGAGUUUAUUUCCAGAGGAAUAGCCCAAAAAUGAGUUUAUUUCCAGAGGAAUAGCCCAGCAGGAUCAGUCAGGGGCGUCACUUUGGGAUAAUUUUGGGAUUUAGGCUGUGUUUUAUCUGGAAAAACCAGAUUUUUUUUUUUUUUAAUAUAUUUUUUGCUGAUUUCUGACCUUUCCCAGCAGCAAAUUCGCAUCUUCCCAGCCCAGCAAGGAAUUCCAGCGGCUCAAGGACAAGCAGGAUCAGGUCCCAGCACAGGGCUGGGGAAGCCACAUUACAAAACUAUUUCAAAUUCCUUCAAAACUAUUCCAAAUUCCUUCGAGGACUUUUUCAAAGGUGUUCCCAAACAAAUGCGAAUUAUUCGGCUGACAAAGGCUUAUCUCGGCAGCCCCGCGCUUUUGUUAUCAUCUCCCGCGGUGAAUUUUGGAAGCGGCUGCGAAUAUGGGCACAGCUGAUUGUGUUUGCACAGCUUUGAAAAUACCGCGCU